Long non-coding RNA from Neopelma chrysocephalum (saffron-crested tyrant-manakin), 1375 nucleotides. RefSeq lists it as uncharacterized. Lineage: Eukaryota; Metazoa; Chordata; Aves; Passeriformes; Pipridae. The transcript has 2 exons. The record is from RefSeq and is a predicted model, not a curated record.
CAGCAUCUUCUGCCUUUGUCUCAGCCGGCCCUUUAAGCCCGGCUUAUGCCGACACUAUUAAUGUGGGUGUCUGUGACCAACUCCGGGUUUUUAUGUUAGUGACCUGAUUCCGCACUAACACGCUCCUCCCAGCUCGGUGAAGCUCCCCAUGUGAUCCGUUCUUCCCCCUAAAUAAAGUUGACAAAUCUGGCUGUGCUCAGAGUGCUGCCGAGGGGGUGCAGAGCUCUUCCCCCCUCCGCAGCUGCGGCACCGCCGCCGCACCGGGGCCGCGCCGGGCCGGGCUCGGGGCUCCAGCACGGCGGGGCUUGGGGCUCCCAGCACCGCUGGCCCCUCUGGAGGAGCCCAGCGAGCCGAGCAGGAUGCGGCCGGAGCAGGGCCUUUUUCCAGGCUCCAGAUUUGCAGUGAGGGCACCUCCCCAAGUCCAGGAUAACGAGGACAAAAACCCCCAAUCCAAACCCUCUCCAGACAAUCCCUGUCUGAGAGCAGAUAUCAGAGAGGAGGGGAAAUUAAACCUUUUCAUGAGAGCUCCUGUUUGCAGCUGAUUUUGUUCAUGUGUGUGGUGUGAGCAAACACAAGUCACAAAACCUGCCUUUGAUUUCACCCUCUUUUGGGAAUAUCUUGGAGAAGAAAAGAAACACCUCUCAGUGCAACAAUUCCUAAGAUAAAAAGUCCACUUGUUGCAGUGCCUUAAGCCCAAGGAUAAGCUCUGCCACCACAAUGUUACUGGAAUAUUGAUUUGAUUUUCUCCAAUUCUCUCCUCUAGAACACAAAGAAUCCCAAACUGGCACUGGGCUGAGCUUUCUCCUGACCCUUGGUGAAGAAAACAACACGUUCCUGACCUCCUGACUUGGGAUAUAGAGGAGCUGUGCUGUAAACUUUGUGCCACAGGCUGUUACUCCUGCAAUCCCUGCCUUCCAAAACAAAGAACACUUCUGAUCUCACCUAUGCCUGGAGAACCUGAGGAGAAAACCAUCUCCUGGAUGACACAGGUGCCAAGGGAAUCAUCGUUUUUGCUUCUCUGGGAAUUUUGAGAACAGCUCCUGAAUCCCAAUGAGGCCCAAGUUCACAGAGGUCCCUGGACCUGCACUUUUGGCCUCACCAGACUAUGAAAACUUUGCUAAAUUAAAUACAACAGGGGACACUGAGAGUGAGCAGCUGGAGGGGUCCCUGUCGUCCACCAUUGCGCUGAUCGUCGUGCUGACCAUCAUCUUCUCCUUGGUAAUGACAUCCCUAAUAACCUACUGCUUCCACAAGUGGAAACUCAGAGGGAAAAGACUGCAGAAAGCACAAGAGGAGUAUCAGAAAGACCAUGAAAAGAGCAUUUGCCAAAGCACACCUGGACUUGUUUCAUAAAAAAAAAAAUGGAAAAAAAGGA